UUUUAGUAGUUUGGAGUCCCGUACCCAUUCAAGGACGACUCAUCGCGUGAGACGACAUUCCGUGGAGUCGAAGUGGCCAUUCGCAGCUUCUGGAAUCGAGUUCGAAUCUUGAUCUGUUCGACUAUCCAUCGGGAAGGACGACCCAUCGCAAGGGACGAGCCUUCGUCAAGUCGAAGUGGCCAUUGGCAGCUCCUGAAAUCAACACAAUUGUGACCUAGACUCGAGUUCUUGAGUCAAAUUUGCAGUUUCAUCCUUCAUAUUUCAAAGUGUGCUUAGUGAGGAGACAACACUAGAGGAAGAAAAUUCUCGCCAAUAAGAAAGCACGCCGGCUCUUAAAAGUCUGUGAGAGGGAAAGGAAAAGUAGGUUUUAUGUCAACAGUUCUUGUUUGCUCAAUCCACGUGCAUCAUUUGGUGAAAGCACUCUAGUCCAGUCACCUUCUUAAAAUAGUUUUCAACCACGGAUUUCUCUCAUUCAAAACAAUGCUCCUCACCAAAUGCUCUUCCAAUCACCUUAAAAUAGUUUUUUUUUUUUUUUCAUUGAUUUAUUCUCAUUGAAUUUUUUAAUAAGAACAGAAGAAGUGAAACCAAUUAUUGAAGAAAAGUUUUAUUGAUGAUUCUCUUUAAAAAAUCUAUAUAUGUUAAGAUUGUUGAUAUGGUCAUGCCAACAAAAUUAUUACACAUUUGGCAAUUGAAAGUCAUUGGAUUUCUAAAAAUUUAUUCAAAAUUAGUAACCAUGGGGUGGAAAGAAAGUUUCAAAGACACAACAUGUUUGAAUACAUUUACCAUAUUUAACUACAUUUUUUUUUUCUUUAGUUCUUCAAGCUAACUACUUACGCAUACUACAACCAUAUAUAAAGGUUGCAAAAAAAAAAAAAAAAAAAAAAAA
This is a non-coding RNA of Camellia sinensis, 886 nucleotides long. The record is from RefSeq and is a predicted model, not a curated record. NCBI's taxonomy places the organism in Eukaryota, Viridiplantae, Streptophyta, Magnoliopsida, Ericales, Theaceae.